RNAcentral lists this ribosomal RNA (225 nucleotides) under uncultured bacterium. RNAcentral's name for it is "partial 16S ribosomal RNA". It matches the Rfam family "Bacterial small subunit ribosomal RNA", at positions 109 to 334 of the family's 1533-position model. The record is from RNAcentral.
CGGAACACGUACGCAACCUUCCUUUAACUGGAGAAUAGCCCCUCGAAAGAGGGAUUAAUACUCCGUAACAUGUACAUGUGGCAUCACAAGUACAUUAUAGCUCCGGCGGUUAAAGAUGGGCGUGCGCCUGAUUAGAUAGUUGGUGGGGUAACGGCCCACCAAGUCUGCGAUCAGUAACUGGUGUGAGAGCACGACCAGUCACACGGGCACUGAGACACGGGCCCG